AUGGGGACUGCGAGAGAUUCCUUUGGCAGAAAGAAAUACUAUGUCAGUUUCAUUGAUGAUUAUAGCAAAUUUACAUGGAUUUAUUUGCUUAAGUACAAGUCUGAGGUUUUCUCUGUAUUUCAAGAGUUUCAAAAACUUGUUGAACGACACUUUGAUCGAAAAAAUUUGACAGUCCAAAGUGAAUGGGGAGGGGAGUAUGAAAAACUCAACUCUUUCUUCCGUAGCAUAGACAUUGAACAUCAUGUUUCUUGUCCUCAUGCUCACCAACAGAACGGCUUCGCUGAGCGGAAACAUCGUCACAUUGUUGAAGUUGGUUUGUCCCUUCUUGCCCAUGCAUCUAUGCCUCUCAAAUAUUGGGACGAAGCGUUGAUCACUGCCACCUAUCUUAUAAACCGUCUUCCUAGCAAAGUUAUUGGCAAUAUCACUCCAUUAGAGCGUCUUUAUCAUCAAACACCCGACUAUAAUUUUCUCAAAAUAUUUGGGUGUGCUUGCUACCCCAACCUACGUCCAUACAAUCGUCAUAAACUUGAGUUUCGUUCUACUCAAUGUGUCUUUAUUGGCUAUAGUAAUCUUCACAAAGGUUAUAAGUGCCUAGAAGUUUCCACUGGACGAAUCUAUAUUUCUCGGGAUGUUGUGUUUGAUGAAACUCUUUUUCCUUUUGCCAAACUUCGUCCAAACGCCGGAGCCCUUCUUCGUGCUGAAAUAGCACUUCUUUCCGAUCACAUGGGUGAAUUACAUAAGGCUGAUCAUGUGCAAAAUUCCACUCAAAACGGUGGUUCUAAUGAUAUUUGUGCAAAAACAAGCUGUGAUUUUAUGUGUCCAGAACAGGACGAAGUUGGCGCAGAGCACGAGGCUGAUUUCUCUGGCAGCAGCGACAGCAGCGGCGCGCGAUCCCGCGCUGAUCCACGCGUCAGGACUGCGCCUGGUCCUCGCCCCGAGCCGGAUUCCCAUGCAGCCAAUCCGGCGGCCUCCAGCUUUCCCGCGGCGGAUGCGGCCGACAGGCUGGGCCUGGUGGACCCCGCCAGCCCACGCGCCUGCCCCCGCGCGGGGGAAACCGUGUCUCCAUGUGGCGCACUGGACGACGGGAGCCCGCGUCUCGAUUCAGCCGCCGAGAGCGACGCGUCGAUGCGGUCGGGAUCCCCCUUGGAUCAUGCGCCGGAUGCGCCAGGAUCUGCGCGAGUAUCUCUCUCGGAUCAGGAGCCGGGAUCUUCUGCGCCUGGUUCUACGUCACCGACUGCCACAGGAUCUCCUACGCCAGUUUCUGAACCGGGAUUUUCUGCGCCUGCGUCCACAUCACCAGCACUUCCGCGCCGGCACACCAGAUCCCAGUCAUGUAUUAUCAAGAAAAAGGAAUACACUGAUGGCACGAUCAAGUAUGACAAAGUUAAGUGUGUUUUUCUCAGUCAUAUUGGAGAACCAACCUGUUUGCAUGAUGCCCUUACACAUAAAGACUGGAAAGAAGCUAUGGAUCAUGAAUAUGAUGCACUCAUGAAAAAUAAAACAUGGCAUUUAGUACCACCAAGGCAGGGUCAUAAUGUCAUAGAUUGUAAAUGGGUAUAUAAGAUAAAGAGAAAAUCUGAUGGAAGCAUAGACAGGUACAAAGCUAGACUAGUUGCCAAAGGUUUCAAACAGAGGUUUGGUAUUGAUUAUGAAGAUACUUUUAGUCCUGUUAUUAAGUCAGCUACCAUUCGGCUUGUACUGUCUAUUGCUGUUUCCAGAGGUUGGAGUUUACGUCAGCUAGAUGUUCAGAACGCGUUUCUUCAUGGUGUUCUUGAGGAAGAAGUGUUCAUGUGGCAACCACCAGGAUACGAGGAUCAAAGUGCACCACACUAUGUCUGUAAGUUGGAUAAGGCUUUAUAUGGUUUAAAACAGGCCCCAAGAGCUUGGUAUUCCAGGUUAAACAUGCAAUUACAACAACUUGGAUUUACACCAUCUAAGGCAGAUACCUCAUUGUUCUUUUAUCACAAAGAUAAGAUCACUAUUUUUGUGCUUAUUUAUGUUGAUGAUAUAAUUGUUGCAAGUUCAAGUGCACAUGCUACAACUUGUUUGCUUAAAGAUUUGAAGUUGGAAUUUGCUCUCAAGGACUUAGGUGAUCUUCAUUAUUUUCUUGGCAUAGAAGUUAAACAGAUAAAGGAUGGUAUACUUCUUACAAAGGAAAAAUACACCACUGAUAUACUCAAGAGAGUAGGAUUGGAACAUUGCAAACCUGUGAGUACACCGAUUUCAACUUCAGAAAAACUUACAAUUGAUAGUGGAGAAGCACUUGGGUCAGAUGAUGCAACAAAAUACAGAAGUGUUGUUGGUGCUUUACAGUAUUUGACUCUUACACGUCCUGAUAUAUCUUACUCUGUCAAUAAAGUUUGUCAGUAUUUGCAUGCGCCUAGAACAACACACUGGACUGCAGUAAAAAGGAUUUUAAGGUAUCUCAAAUACUCAACAGGUCUUGGACUUCAGAUUGUCAAGUCCAUGUCUUUGCUUGUUACUGCCUAUUUUUAUGCAGACUGGGCAGGGUGUGCUGAUGACAGAAGGUCCACAGGUGGUUUUGCUGUGUUUCUGGGAACAAAUCUUGUAUCAUGGAGUGCAAGAAAACAGGCCACUGUUUCUAGGUCCAGUACAGAAGCUGAGUAUAAAGCUUUGGCUAAUGCUACAGCUGAGGUGAUGUGGAUACAGACUCUGUUAUAUGAGCUUGGGAUCAAGGCUCCACAAGCUGCGAGGUUAUGGUGUGAUAAUAUUGGUGCAACCUAUCUCUCAGCUAAUCCUGUUUUCCAUGCACGAACUAAACAUAUUGAAGUUGAUUUUCACUUUGUCAGAGAAAGAGUAGCUCGCAAGCUACUUGGUAUUCGGUUUAUACCAACUGAUGAUCAACUUGCUGAUGGCUUCACAAAACCUCUUACUACGGGAAGGUUGAAUGACUUCAAGAACAAUCUUAACCUUGGUAAAGUUCAGUCGGUUCAGAUUGAGGGGGGAUGUUAG
This 2973-nucleotide ribosomal RNA is filed under the name Triticum aestivum (bread wheat). RNAcentral's name for it is "partial small subunit ribosomal RNA". Lineage: Eukaryota; Viridiplantae; Streptophyta; Magnoliopsida; Poales; Poaceae. The record is from RNAcentral.